RNAcentral lists this long non-coding RNA (594 nucleotides) under Rattus norvegicus (Norway rat). Its description in RNAcentral is "long non-coding RNA NONRATT000521". The record is from RNAcentral. Lineage: Eukaryota; Metazoa; Chordata; Mammalia; Rodentia; Muridae.
CACCCGCUCCCCUGGGGCACGAGAGAAAGCUGAUGCCCAUGCUGUCCCUAGAGCCAGCUGCCACUUCUCCAGGGGCCUCUGUAGCUCCUGACCUGCUGUCCGCAAAUAACCCUGGGCUGGGAGAGGCAGGCAUAAGGCACUUUGGGCUCCAUGGCCCCUGUGCAGGCCCAGGCUUCCAGACUAUACUGUAUCGGAGGAGCCUCCUGCAUGUCCUGCUGCCCUGAGCUCUCUCAAGCUAGGUGACAGCGUGUUAAUGCUGCCACCAUGAAUGAGGUAUCUGUCAUCAAAGAAGGCUGGCUCCACAAACGUGGUGAAUACAUCAAGACCUGGAGGCCCCGGUACUUCCUUCUGAAGAGUGAUGGAUCUUUUAUUGGGUAUAAAGAGAGACCUGAGGCCCCCGACCAGACCCUACCCCCCCUUAACAAUUUCUCUGUAGCAGAAUGCCAGCUGAUGAAGACUGAGAGGCCACGACCCAACACCUUUGUCAUACGCUGCCUGCAGUGGACCACAGUCAUCGAGAGGACCUUCCAUGUCGACUCUCCAGAUGAGAGGGAAGAGUGGAUACGGGCUAUCCAGAUGGUAGCCAACAGUCUG